Long non-coding RNA from Nycticebus coucang (slow loris), 889 nucleotides. RefSeq lists it as uncharacterized. NCBI's taxonomy places the organism in Eukaryota, Metazoa, Chordata, Mammalia, Primates, Lorisidae. The record is from RefSeq and is a predicted model, not a curated record. The transcript has 3 exons.
AUCUGGGGUCAUCAUCUCUGGUUGGAGCUCCAGAGUCCGCACACAUCCACACCCACAUCCGGACCGUUAUCUCGGUUCCGGGGAACUUCCCCCUGCUGGCCUGAAGGUGGCCAACAGAUAGUGGGCCGGGAGGAGCCUUCCUGCCUGUUACACGAUUACUCACCAGCGGCAGUUACUGGUGACUGGCCAGCACUGCUGUCCAGCCCUGCCCAGCCUGCCCUACCUCUUGGAACUUAUCUCCUGGGGCUGGCCCAGCCGUCCUCACUGCAGAACAAACUUUGCAGGCACCUUACAGGGACUCCUCUCAAAGUCCACAGCCAGCCCUAGGGUAUAAGGAUUCACGCUGAGGGGUGUUAACUUUAUGUAAUGAGCAUCUUUGCUGCUCUUACUUCAAGAGGUGAAGAGAAAUGGAAGAAAGCGUGUGAGGACACGGCAGAGGAGGCUAAGAUCUGGGCUGUCCCCAGGCCGCGUCAGGGCCAUGGAGGAGCUACAAUCUGGACAGAGUUGAAGCAAGAACAGGGUAUUGACAAGGAAGACCUACAGGUCAAGGUCUCCCAGGCAGGAAGAGGCAGAGCUAAGUCUGAAUCCAGUGCCACUUCCAUGCACUGGGCACCCUCGCCAGUUCCCCCACCACGUGGCUGAGAGGUGGAGCCCCACUGGACCCUGAGCUGCUCCUCCUGGCAGCUCCCACCCCAGCAACCCCAGGCUGUGGUCAGGGCUCUUCCUUACCCCAUGGGGGUGGGGGGUCUCAGGCUCCCCUUGCAUCCCCCUGCAGGAUCCUGGCUGCUCUCAAUCUCACAGGAAGCCUCAGUUUGCUAACUUGUCAAAUGGGAGUUAGAAGAAACUGAUUUUCCUGCUGUUUUUGUUGAUAUUUGCCAAGAUCUGAGGU